AUUGAACGCUGCGGGCAGGCCUAACACAUGCAAGUCGAACGGUAACAGGAAGCAGCUUGCUGCUUCGCUGACGAGUGGCGGACGGGUGAGUAAUGUCUGGGAAGCUGCCUGAUGGAGGGGGAUAACUACUGGAAACGGUAGCUAAUACCGCAUAAUGUCGCAAGACCAAAGAGGGGGACCUUCGGGCCUCUUGCCAUCGGAUGUGCCCAGAUGGGAUUAGCUUGUUGGUGGGGUAACGGCUCACCAAGGCGACGAUCCCUAGCUGGUCUGAGAGGAUGACCAGCCACACUGGAACUGAGACACGGUCCAGACUCCUACGGGAGGCAGCAGUGGGGAAUAUUGCACAAUGGGCGCAAGCCUGAUGCAGCCAUGCCGCGUGUAUGAAGAAGGCCUUCGGGUUGUAAAGUACUUUCAGCGGGGAGGAAGGGAGUAAAGUUAAUACCUUUGCUCAUUGACGUUACCCGCAGAAGAAGCACCGGCUAACUCCGUGCCAGCAGCCGCGGUAAUACGGAGGGUGCAAGCGUUAAUCGGAAUUACUGGGCGUAAAGCGCACGCAGGCGGUUUGUUAAGUCAGAUGUGAAAUCCCCGGGCUCAACCUGGGAACUGCAUCUGAUACUGGCAAGCUUGAGUCUC
This 633-nucleotide ribosomal RNA is filed under the name uncultured Pseudomonadota bacterium. RNAcentral describes it as "bacterial SSU rRNA". It matches the Rfam family "Bacterial small subunit ribosomal RNA", at positions 28 to 650 of the family's 1533-position model. Lineage: Bacteria; Pseudomonadati; Pseudomonadota. The record is from RNAcentral.